This 253-nucleotide ribosomal RNA is filed under the name uncultured bacterium. Its description in RNAcentral is "partial 16S ribosomal RNA". It matches the Rfam family "Bacterial small subunit ribosomal RNA", at positions 524 to 776 of the family's 1533-position model. The record is from RNAcentral.
UACGGGGGGGGCAAGCGUUGUUCGGAAUUACUGGGCGUAAAGGGCGCGUAGGCGGCUCCAAAAGUCAGGGGUGAAAUCCGGCAGCUUAACUGUCGCAGUGCCUUUGAUACUGUGGAGCUAGAGGGAGGUAGGGGUCUGUGGAACUUCCGGUGGAGCGGUGAAAUGCGUUGAUAUCGGAAGGAACGCCGGUGGCGAAAGCGACGGACUGGAUCUCUUCUGACGCUGAGGCGCGAAAGCCAGGGGAGCAAACGGG